GAUGAACGCUAGCUACAGGCUUAACACAUGCAAGUCGAGGGGAAACGAUAUUGGAAGCUUGCUUCCGAUAGGCGUCGACCGGCGCACGGGUGAGUAACGCGUAUCCAACCUGCCCACCACUUGGGGAUAACCUUGCGAAAGUAAGACUAAUACCCAAUGAUAUCUCUAGAAGACAUCUGAAGGAGCUGAAAGAUUCAUCGGUGAUGGAUGGGGAUGCGUCUGAUUAGCUUGUUGGCGGGGUAACGGCCCACCAAGGCGACGAUCAGUAGGGGGUCUGAGAGGAAGGGCCCCCACAUUGGAACUGAGACACGGUCCAAACUCCUACGGGAGGCAGCAGUGAGGAAUAUUGGUCAAUGGGAGAGAGCCUGAACCAGGCAAGUAGCGUGCAGGAUGACGGCCCUAUGGGUUGUAAACUGCUUUUAUAAGGGAAUAAAGUGAGUCUCGUGAGACUUUUUGCAUGUACCUUAUGAAUAAGGACCGGCUAAUUCCGUGCCAGCCGCCGCAGUAA
Molecule: ribosomal RNA, 508 nt
Filed under: uncultured bacterium
Lineage: Bacteria
Description: partial 16S ribosomal RNA
Rfam family: Bacterial small subunit ribosomal RNA
Source: RNAcentral